This 259-nucleotide ribosomal RNA is filed under the name uncultured bacterium. RNAcentral's name for it is "partial 16S ribosomal RNA". It matches the Rfam family "Bacterial small subunit ribosomal RNA", at positions 333 to 589 of the family's 1533-position model. The record is from RNAcentral.
CUUUUCCUACGGGGGGCAGCAGUGAGGAAUAUUGGUCAAUGGCCGUAAGGCUGAACCAGCCAAGCAGCGUGAGGGAAGACUGCCCUAUGGGUUGUAAACCUCUUUUAUGCGGGGAUAAAGGCGUCCACGUGUGGAUGUUUGCAGGUACCGCAUGAAUAAGGACCGGCUAAUUCCGUGCCAGCAGCCGCGGUAAUACGGAAGGUCCGGGCGUUAUCCGGAUUAAUUGGGUUUAAAGGGGGCGUAGGCCGGUCUUUAAGCG